Molecule: long non-coding RNA, 383 nt
Filed under: Solanum tuberosum (potato)
Lineage: Eukaryota; Viridiplantae; Streptophyta; Magnoliopsida; Solanales; Solanaceae
Description: long non-coding RNA (STUB_LNC005599)
Source: RNAcentral
GCUAGUGCUCAAAACUCAUCCAUGGCGGAGGAAUCGAUGUGGAGAGCAGUCGACUCUCCAUUUCCCUCUUUGUUUCCUACUUCAAUAGAGCUACUUCAAUAGAUUGUUCUACUUCAAUAGAGCUAUGUAUUCGAGAUAUUAAAGUUCAAAGAAGUAAGUUUACCUCAUCAACUCAUCUCCCUUAGUUUUCAAAGUCGGAACUUGAAGCUGUCCAGAUCUGACUGAUUUAGCUCAGGACAAGUUGAAGGUUAUAGUUUCUUUGGAGAAGAGCUGGUAGAAAUUGAAGAAAUGCAAUAUUGAGGAGCCGAUUCUCCGGCGGCUGGUGCUCAGAACUCAUCCAUGGCGGAGGAAUCGAUGUGGAGAGAAGCCGACUCUUCAUUUCC